This is a long non-coding RNA of Oncorhynchus tshawytscha (Chinook salmon), 259 nucleotides long. The record is from Ensembl. Lineage: Eukaryota; Metazoa; Chordata; Actinopteri; Salmoniformes; Salmonidae.
UUUUAGUAGUGGGUUUUAGUAGUGGGUUUUAGUAGUUUUGGGUUUUUGUAGUGGGUUUUAGUAGUAGUGGGUUUUAGUAGUGGGUUUUAGUAGUAGUGGGUUUUAGUAGUGGGUUUUAGUAGUGGGUUUUAGUAGUAGUGGGUUUUAGUAGAGGGGUUUUGUAGUGGGUUUUAGUAGUAGUACUUCAGCUCCACGCCAGCUGUGCUCUCAGGAUGGGUAUCAGCUCAUUGUCUAUGUCAUCAGAGGUCAGUGCAUACUG